RNAcentral lists this ribosomal RNA (254 nucleotides) under uncultured bacterium. RNAcentral's name for it is "partial 16S ribosomal RNA". It matches the Rfam family "Bacterial small subunit ribosomal RNA", at positions 524 to 776 of the family's 1533-position model. The record is from RNAcentral.
UACGGAGGGGGCUAGCGUUGUUCGGAAUUACUGGGCGUAAAGCGCACGUAGGCGGCUUUGUAAGUUAGAGGUGAAAGCCCGGAGCUCAACUCCGGAAUUGCCUUUAAGACUGCAUCGCUAGAAUUGUGGAGAGGUAAGUGGAAUUCCGAGUGUAGAGGUGAAAUUCGUAGAUAUUGGGAAGAACACCGGUGGCGAAGGCGGCGACCUGGUCCUUUUACUGACGCUGAGGCGCGAAAGCGUGGGGAGCAAACAGG